Molecule: long non-coding RNA, 873 nt
Filed under: Callithrix jacchus (white-tufted-ear marmoset)
Lineage: Eukaryota; Metazoa; Chordata; Mammalia; Primates; Cebidae
Description: lncRNA (ENSCJAG00000071728.1)
Source: RNAcentral
AUGGGAGACGGACGACUGGAGAAGAACCAGCACAUGGGACAAUCUCCAAGACAUACUCUGGAGUCUAGCACUUUGAGACAAAGGUGUUGGCAGCGCCGGUUCCUUCUGAGAGCCAUGAGGACAGAGUCUCGUUCUGUCCCCAAGGCUGGAGUGCAGUGGCACAAUCCUGGCUCACUGCAACUCCACCUCCCAGUAGAGACGGGGUUUUGUCACGUUGGCGAAGCUGGUCUCAAAUUCCUAAGCUCAAGUGAUGUGCCCACCUUGGCCUCCCAAAGUGCUGGAAUUAUAGGUAUGAGCCAACAUGCCCAGCCUAUAGUAUUUUGUAUAAACAGCCCUAGGAACUAAUAAACAUCAUAGUAUAGGAAAAUUUAAUUCUACCAAAGAGAGAAAGUUUUAUCUUGGAUUUAUUUUGGGUCAUGAGUCACCUGGAUAAUCCAAACAAAGCAAUGGAUCCUCCCUACAAAGAACCCAUACCCACACAGAAUUUUAUAGACAACUUUCGGAAGCUCCCCAAUACCCUCAAGCCCAUUGCUGGCUUUAUGGGGGAGUGAAGAAACAUCUCUGGGCUGACCAAGUCAAGUAGGCUUGAUAAACAGGUGCUUGUCGGUUAACCUUUGUAGAAACAUAACGCAUGAGCAGGGAGAGAAGUCUGUCACUUUUACACUAAGAGGAGCAGGGUGGCAGAAACUGUUGGCAGGUAUUUAGUAACAGGGAGGGCUCCUGGGAAGGAGGGACAUACCCAGGAACAGGAGCCACUGCUUUGCACUCCACCAGAAGUCCCACAAGGUUAAUUCAUUUUAAUUUGAUCGCCCAUGUGUCUAGCAGAUCUGCACUGUUGAUGUCCAACCCAGAUUUUGUUUGACUGCUUCUGUG